Molecule: ribosomal RNA, 253 nt
Filed under: uncultured bacterium
Lineage: Bacteria
Description: partial 16S ribosomal RNA
Rfam family: Bacterial small subunit ribosomal RNA
Source: RNAcentral
UACGUAGGCAGCGAGCGUUGUUCGGAAUUACUGGGCGUAAAGAGUGUGUAGGCGGUGCCCUAAGUUCGGUGUGAAAUCUCCCGGCUUAACUGGGAGGGUGCGCCGGAAACUGGAGUGCUCGAACGUGGGAGAGGAAAGCGGAAUUCCUGGUGUAGCGGUGAAAUGCGUAGAUAUCAGGAGGAACACCUGCGGUGUAGACGGCUUUCUGGACCAUUGUUGACGCUGAGACACGAAAGCGUGGGUAGCAAACAGG